AUUGAACGCUGGCGGCAUGCUUUACACAUGCAAGUCGAGCGGCAGCGCGGGGGGCAACCCUGGCGGCGAGCGGCGAACGGGUGAGUAAUGCAUCGGAACGUAUCCUGUAGUGGGGAAUAACUCACCGAAAGGUGAGCUAAUACCGCAUAAGCUCUGAGGAGGAAAGCGGGGGACCAAAGGCCUCGCGCUGCAGGAGCGGCCGAUGUCCGAUUAGCUAGUUGGUGAGGUAAAGGCUCACCAAGGCGACGAUCGGUAGCUGGUCUGAGAGGAUGAUCAGCCACACUGGGACUGAGACACGGCCCAGACUCCUACGGGAGGCAGCAGUGGGGAAUUUUGGACAAUGGGGGAAACCCUGAUCCAGCCAUGCCGCGUGAGUGAAGAAGGCCUC
This 388-nucleotide ribosomal RNA is filed under the name uncultured bacterium. RNAcentral's name for it is "bacterial SSU rRNA". It matches the Rfam family "Bacterial small subunit ribosomal RNA", at positions 29 to 418 of the family's 1533-position model. The record is from RNAcentral.